RNAcentral lists this long non-coding RNA (3298 nucleotides) under Nicotiana tabacum (common tobacco). Its description in RNAcentral is "long non-coding RNA (NTAB_LNC009637)". The record is from RNAcentral. Lineage: Eukaryota; Viridiplantae; Streptophyta; Magnoliopsida; Solanales; Solanaceae.
AGAAGCAAUUCAGUUGGAUUUCUUUAGCUAGCUAUUUCAUUUUGUAAACAUAAAUAUUUGCAACUUUUGAGUCAUUAAUUGAGUUGCAAUUAGAGGACUAACUUUGUUGUGCCAUGGCAGGUCCUAGAACACCACCAUAUUAUAGCCCAACUUACAAGCCCAAUGCAGCCAACUUUCCUUCUUCUCCUUACUCAAUAAGAAUUAAUGUUUAUACAUUGGCUAUAGCCAUUACAUUCCUUUGCUCUAUCACUUAUCUCUUUGGCAGAGGCUCCAUUUCCACCUCUCCUGUUUCCAAUGUUGCAGCUACCAUCCCCUGCAUUCCCUUGAAAAUAACAUCCACUUCUGCCGCUUCCAAUAAUUCCAAAAUAUCAUCAUCUUCUUCGUCUACAUCGUCACAACUAGACUUCAGCACCAACCAAGGUGACGACGAAGGUGAAGGCGUUGUGCCUGAUGAUAGUGUCAAAGUUUAUCCGGCAUGUGACAUUAAGUAUAGCGAGUAUACUCCUUGCGAAGAUCCUCAAAGAUCGUUGAAGUUCAAGAGAGACAGAUUGAUUUAUAGGGAGAGGCAUUGCCCUGACAAGAGCCAAUUGUUAAAAUGCCGUAUCCCUGCGCCUUAUGGUUACAAGAAGCCGUUCAAGUGGCCUAAGAGCAGGGAUUUGGCGUGGUACGCCAAUGUGCCCCACAAGGAAUUGACGGUGGAGAAGGCCGUUCAGAAUUGGAUCCGAAAAGAAGGAGACAAGUUUAGAUUCCCCGGUGGAGGGACUAUGUUUCCAAAUGGUGCUGAUGCAUAUGUUGACGACAUUGACAAGUUGAUCAAUCUUAAAGAUGGUUCCAUUAGGACUGCUAUUGAUACCGGCUGUGGGGUAAUUUACCAAUUUUUCUCAAUGGCUAGAGGAAUUUUAGGAUCCCAUUUAGCGACGUUUAUCUAAAGAAGUUGUGACAACCUAUAUAUGCAGGUGGCGAGCUGGGGAGCUUAUCUUUUGUCGCGUGAUAUACUAGCAAUGUCAUUUGCACCUAGGGAUACACAUGAAGCGCAGGUUCAAUUUGCUCUUGAGCGAGGCGUUCCUGCUUUAAUUGGAGUGCUCGCAUCCAAGAGACUUCCCUAUCCAUCUAGAGCUUUUGACAUGGCUCAUUGCUCUCGUUGCCUUAUUCCCUGGGACCAGUAUGGUACGUAUAAUUGAUUAAGUAAAUAAAAGUGUGUUAUUUUUUAAUGUGAUGGUCACACAAUUCAAUAAUUCUUUCACAUGAAUAUAAGUUUGGUUUUACAUAUUAAACUAAGUUUAUUUGCUUGGUGGAUCAGAUGGUGAAUACUUAAUGGAAGUUGAUAGAGUGCUGAGACCUGGUGGAUAUUGGAUACUCUCUGGCCCACCAAUCCGUUGGAGGAAAUAUUGGAAAGGUUGGGAAAGAACCAGGGAUGACCUAAAUGGGGAACAAACCAGAAUAGAGGAGGUAGCUAAGAAACUUUGUUGGAAAAAGUUUGUUGAAAAGGAUGACAUUGCAAUUUGGCAGAAGCCUUACAAUCAUUUCCAAUGCAAAGAACAAAAGAAGAAGUUAAUGUGUCCUGCCCAAGAUCCUGAUAAAGCCUGGUUUGUGCUUUUUAACUCCUCACAGUUUUAAUAUCUUAGCUACUAUUCGUUCUGUUUUAUUUUACAUGCACGACGUUCAAGAAUAAAAAGAAGACUUUUGGUAGAACAUGUUCUGAAAUAGAUUCAAAAGGAAAAAGAGUCAUAUAAAAUGGAACAGAGGGAGUGUCAGGUUAUACAUGGAUUUCUGUUAGCAUUAAUCUUGUUUCGUGUUAAAUUCAUCAUUUGCAGGUAUACGGAGCUUUCGACUUGUGUAACUCCGUUGCCUGAAGUUUCAAGUGAAGAAGAGGUGGCUGGUGGACAAUUAGAAAAAUGGCCUAAAAGAUUACACGCAAUACCACCUAGGAUUAGCAGUGGAACUGUUAAUGGUGUUACGGCUGAAUCUUUUGAGAAGGAUUCACAGCUAUGGCAAAAAAGAGUUUCAUAUUACAAGAGCGUAGAUAAUAAGCUCAACCAACCAGGGAGAUACAGAAAUCUAUUAGAUAUGAAUGCUUACUUAGGUGGUUUUGCUGCUAGUUGGAUUGAUGACCUUGUUUGGGUAAUGAAUGUUGUUCCUGUUGAGGCUGAGGUCAAUACACUUGGUGUCAUUUAUGAACGAGGAUUGGUUGGAACAUAUCAAAACUGGUAAGUUAUUCCUAUGUCCUUCUGUACAAUCAAACAAUUCCUCAUAUGAUUUUUUUCUUGAAUUCGAAUAAAAAAAGUUCGACUUGCUCCCCUUUAUUAAGUAAUGGGCUAAGGGCGAACCCCUAACCUAAGAGUUUUGUUAUGACCAGCCGAAGACAUACCGUCUAGAUGCCUUAAAAUCGUCCUUUUAACCUAUUCCCACUUAUGCAUACUUUAUGGCUGAUAGGCCUACAGACGUUUGUUCCCUCCUGCCUCACCCUCCCCCCACCCCCACCAAAGCCUCUAGCGUCUAUGUUCUUUAGGUACUUGUAGUUGAACGGGUGGGAUAAGGUUGAGUAUUUAGUGAAUUCUUUAAAAUACACUUAAGACUUAUCGAAUAUGUACCUGUUAACAAUAUCAAGAUAUAUACCUGUUAACGACUCAUGUAACUUAGUCUAGCAUUGAGGCUUUGGUAUAUUUGUAUUUAAAAUAAAUUUUUAUUGUAGGUGUGAAGCCAUGUCAACUUACCCAAGAACAUACGAUCUUAUUCAUGCUGAUUCAAUAUUUACCAUGUACAAAGACAGGUAACUAAGUUCUACUAUUAUUUUAAGUUGUAUAUAUCUUAUUUCCCAUACAAAGCCUGCAAUGUAAAUGUGAAUUCUGAGUGUGUGGUUUUCAUAUCAUAUGUAGAUGUGAAAUGGAGGACAUAUUACUAGAAAUGGAUAGGAUAUUAAGGCCAGAAGGAAGUGUAAUAAUUCGAGAAGACGUAGAUAUAUUGGUGGAAGUAAAGAAGAUAGCAGAUGGGCUGAAAUGGGAUACCCUAAUUGUGGAUCAUGAAGAUGGGCCAAUGGAGAGAGAGAAGCUUCUCUUUGCAGUCAAGUCUUAUUGGACUGCUCCAGCUACUCAAGAUUCUAAUAACACCUCCGCCAACCCAAGGAUGAUCUAAUUUCUCAAUCCCAAUUUUGUCUCUAAUUGUUUAAAUUUUGUAUAGGCUAGUCUGUGUAAGCUUUUAAGAGUUUGUAAACCAAUUCUAUUUGUCCCUUGAUAUGACUAAUAGAUUUGUUUAGCUUAAAAAGUACCUAUCGAACUCUUAUUUGGUUUUUCAAUUCUUU